This 495-nucleotide ribosomal RNA is filed under the name uncultured bacterium. Its description in RNAcentral is "partial 16S ribosomal RNA". It matches the Rfam family "Bacterial small subunit ribosomal RNA", at positions 28 to 507 of the family's 1533-position model. The record is from RNAcentral.
GACGAACGCUGGCGGCGUGCCUAAUACAUGCAAGUAGAACGCUGAAGGAGGAGCUUGCUCUUCUGGAUGAGUUGCGAACGGGUGAGUAACGCGUAGGUAACCUGCCUGGUAGCGGGGGUUAACAAUUGAAAAGAUAGUCUAUAACCCCUUAAAAUAAGUUGUGCCAGACAAUUUGCUAAAAAGGGGCAAUGGAUCCAUAACAGAUGGAACUUGCGUUGUUUUAGCUAGUUGGGGGGGUAACGGCUCACCAAGGCGACGAUACAUAGCCGACCUGAGAGGGUGAUCGGCCACACUGGGACUGAGACACGGCCCAGACUCCUACGGGAGGCAGCAGUAGGGAAUCUUCGGCAAUGGACGGAAGUCUGACCGAGCAACGCCGCGUGAGUGAAGAAGGUUUUCGGAUCGUAAAGCUCUGUUGUAAGAGAAGAACGAGUGUGAGAGUGGAAAGUUCACACUGUGACGGUAUCUUACCAGAAAGGGACGGCUAACUACGUG